CGCAGGGUGGAGCAGUCUGGUAGCUCGUCGGGCUCAUAACCCGAAGGUCACAGGUUCAAAUCCUGUCCCUGCAA
This 74-nucleotide transfer RNA is filed under the name Meiothermus granaticius NBRC 107808. It matches the Rfam family "tRNA". Rfam says of the family: Transfer RNA (tRNA) molecules are approximately 80 nucleotides in length. Their secondary structure includes four short double-helical elements and three loops (D, anti-codon, and T loops). Lineage: Bacteria; Thermotogati; Deinococcota; Deinococci; Thermales; Thermaceae. RNAcentral also lists the same sequence under 2 other names. The record is from Rfam by way of RNAcentral.